RNAcentral lists this ribosomal RNA (468 nucleotides) under uncultured bacterium. RNAcentral's name for it is "partial 16S ribosomal RNA". It matches the Rfam family "Bacterial small subunit ribosomal RNA", at positions 28 to 507 of the family's 1533-position model. The record is from RNAcentral.
GACGAACGCUGGCGGCGUGCUUAACACAUGCAAGUCGAACGGAAAGGCCCUGCUUUGGUGGGGUGCUCGAGUGGCGAACGGGUGAGUAACACGUGAGUAACCUGCCCUUGACUUUGGGAUAACUUCAGGAAACUGGGGCUAAUACCGGAUAGGGGCUCCUGCUGCAUGGUGGGGGUUGGAAAGUUUCGGCGGUUGGGGAUGGACUCGCGGCUUAUCAGCUUGUUGGUGGGGUAGUGGCUUACCAAGGCUUUGACGGGUAGCCGGCCUGAGAGGGUGACCGGCCACAUUGGGACUGAGAUACGGCCCAGACUCCUACGGGAGGCAGCAGUGGGGAAUAUUGCACAAUGGGCGGAAGCCUGAUGCAGCAACGCCGCGUGCGGGAUGACGGCCUUCGGGUUGUAAACCGCUUUCGCCUGUGACGAAGCGUGAGUGACGGUAAUGGGUAAAGAAGCACCGGCUAACUACGUG